Long non-coding RNA from Rattus norvegicus (Norway rat), 738 nucleotides. RefSeq lists it as uncharacterized. Lineage: Eukaryota; Metazoa; Chordata; Mammalia; Rodentia; Muridae. The record is from RefSeq and is a predicted model, not a curated record.
AGGACAAAUAGCGUUCCCAGGGAGCCAACCAGCGCCUGCGGGGCCGGCCCAGGUGGGAGCUGGCGCGGGGGCGUUGGCCCGCAUCCUGCAGCCCUUAUCUGCACGCGCACCCCAUGACCUUGCUGCCCCUCCUAGUGGGAGCAAACAUUGCCUAUGGAGGUCCAGAUGGGGGUGAUUUACCAAGCCUUGCUGAGCUGCGUUUAGUCUCACCGAGCCCCUGCCUCCUCUGCCGCGACUCAAGGUCUAAGAAACUUGACCCAGUGUGCCUAGCUCCCACCCAACUCGUACCCAAACCCAUACCCAAACCCGUACUGCUGUGCACUCUGAGAAUGAAGACAAGUGACACUCCUCUCUGGGACCUAGGCUCUCUUUGGCACGUUGAUGCGCUCUCUCCCGUCCCCAGAGGAGUAGCUAAUGGAGCAUAGCCUUAGGAGGAGAUAUCUGGUGGACUCCUGCAAUAACCAUCCAAGCAGAAGCCUCCAGGUGUGAUGGAUGUAGGAAGCAAGACGUCCCGGUCGCUGAGGAGGCUCACCGCCAACAGAAUACGCCAAAUGAGACCAGGAGGAGCCCCAGAGAAGAAGCAUGUGAAGGCUGAGAUGGAAGUGACAGCCACCAGAGCUGGAAAAGGCAAGAACAGAUCGUCCCCAGCGUCUGCAGAGGGGGCAUAGCCCUGAAGACAUCUUGAUUUCACAUGUCUGGCCUUCAAGCUGUGAAAGAAUAAAUCUCUCUGCUUUCAAA